CCUACGGGUGGCAGCAGUGGGGAAUAUUGGACAAUGGGCGAAAGCCUGAUCCAGCCAUGCCGCGUGUGUGAAGAAGGCCUUCGGGUUGUAAAGCACUUUCAGUGGGGAAGAAAGCCUUGGGGCUAAUACCCUCGAGGAAGGACAUCACCCGCAGAAGAAGCACCGGCUAACUCCGUGCCAGCAGCCGCGGUAAUACGGAGGGUGCGAGCGUUAAUCGGAAUUACUGGGCGUAAAGCGCGCGUAGGCGGUCUGAUAAGCCGGUUGUGAAAGCCCCGGGCUCAACCUGGGAACGGCAUCCGGAACUGUCAGGCUAGAGUGCAGGAGAGGAAGGUAGAAUUCCCGGUGUAGCGGUGAAAUGCGUAGAGAUCGGGAGGAAUACCAGUGGCGAAGGCGGCCUUCUGGACUGACACUGACGCUGAGGUGCGAAAGCGUGGGUAGCAAACAGGAUUAGAUACCCUGGUAGUC
Molecule: ribosomal RNA, 465 nt
Filed under: Vreelandella stevensii
Lineage: Bacteria; Pseudomonadati; Pseudomonadota; Gammaproteobacteria; Oceanospirillales; Halomonadaceae
Description: partial 16S ribosomal RNA
Rfam family: Bacterial small subunit ribosomal RNA
Source: RNAcentral